AAUGCUACCAUUAUUUCUGAAGUUCUGGAGAAAGCAAAGGAUGUGAUGCUGGUUUCCCAUUUGACAAGUGCAACCGAAAAUGCUGAAGUAAUGACUAGAAAUUCCCAAGUUAUGGAGAAAGCGAAAGAUAUGAUGACAAGAGCAGCAGAAACUGCUAAAAAUGUUUCUAAUCAAGAAAUGAAAGAUGCUAUUACUCCACCGAGCACUAGUGUUCAAACCAACUUGCCUUCUACCGAGAGAAAGAAACUCGAAGAUCGCAAAAAAGAGUGAUGAUAUUCUUCCUUCGCUAGCAUUUGAGAUGACAUGCCAUUUUGAUCGCAGUUGGUGUGAUUGAUAGGUCUGAUGUUUGACUUUUUUGUUGGUUUUUUUUAAAAAGAAAAUGGUUCCAUAAUAUGAUUUUAAACACACCAUUCUUCUAAUUGCCAAAUUUGAAUACAUAUAUAUAUACAUAUGGUGGCAUUUGGCAUCCAAUGCACAAGAAGCACAAGGGUAUUAAUUGUUUAGCAGCUCACAUUCCUCUGUUUCUUUUCUGGUCCAGAAGAGAACCAACUAAAUACUCCAUUUCUAACCGGGAUCGUGUAACCUAAAGCUUUACACUAUUAACGAAAUGGGAAAGCAUCAAAAUUUAUCACCUUUCAAGUGUCAUAAAAUUCUGCAAUAAUCAAAUUUUAUUACCCACAAUGGCCUUAAAAUUUAUUACAUAAUAUGUGGUAGAACAAACCUACAAGGGGUUCACUUCAAGGCAUCAUCAAAAUUUACAUUUUGGAACAACAAACAGUGAUUGUCGCCAUGGCUCUGCAUCCAUCUAAUGUUCUUUUUCUUCCUUGAAGCUCUCAUCAAGAGAAGUAGACAAGUCAAAAUUUUUUACUUCGGGUGUCUGUAAAGCUUCAUCAUUAUCGUAGUCCCCAUCACAUCCUCCAUCAUCUGGUUGUGGAGAUGAGAAGUCCAAGCACAGUCCUUGAAUUACUUGCUCAUAUGAAUCAGAGAGAUCUUGGGAAGUUAGCCGGUGGUACUCUACUAAUUGGUGAAGGUAUUGAUUUUCUCUAAUCAGAUUUGCAUUCUCAUUUGCUAAUCUGGAUUUCUCAGCAAGCAAUGCCUCCAACUGAAGCCUCACCUGUCCAAAACCAAUAAUACCCAGAACAGUUAUUGAGCCUUUUUGCUUUUCGAUACAAAAGAAUAUUUGAUUUGGGGGGGAAAGAUAUUUUAAGUACCAGAUCAUCUUCUUCUGGUCUAAUUCCUUUACCAAAUCCAUCUCGAAGCCUCCUGUUCUCUUCCUCAAGCAAACUACACCUUUCCUGCAUAAAGCAUAAAUCUGACUUUUUCGACUUCAGUUCCCUUGCAAGUGAAGCUGCCUUUGUGGCCAUGGAAAUUGCAAUCUGUAGAAGACAGUUAAAACAACAGGGAGAAAUUAGUAUAAACUUGAUGGGUUUAUCAUGGUCAAGAAACAGAAUAAGCAUAGAGAGAAACCAACAUUUUUGGCUCUCUUCAUCAUUUUCUUCUCUUUUGGGCUUUCCUCUUUUUGUGUAUGCGAAUCAUCUACUUGACAAUCUGAACAAUCUUCUGGGUCAUACUUCCUCUUCAAACUCUUCUGUGACUCUUGUUUUUCUUCUUGGCUUUGCUUCAAAUCUUCGUGUUUACCUUCCUCCUCUGAAUUCUUUAAAUUGCUUAGAAAUAUUUCAGUCAAUGUGGGUGGCUUCGCUAGAUUUCUAGCUCCCUGGUAAUAACAGAGCAAACAAUAAAGAGUUGAGUCCAAGAUCUCCUCAUUACCAGAAGCCUAAGUUUCUAGAAAGAUUCACCAAAUCUUAUAUUUGUAUCAUGUACUCUUGUGUUUUGGCAAGAUCUCCUUAGCAAUUUGUUUAAAUGAACUGUGCCAAGCAGAUUUCAGAUUUUACGUAAACUCGAAAUCACCUGAAGAGCAUUGUCCAGAUUGUUAGACAGCUGAGACAGAGUUUGUGAAAUUGAAUCAAAUCCUCUCAGCAAAAGCAUAGAAUCUUCCUUCAGCCGUUUACCCGUCCCCGAUUCUCCCACAUCCUUCACCAAAAAAACAAAAAAACAAAAACAACACAAAAUAAAAAAAUAACCGUCACUAACUUAAGGAAAAAAAAAAAAUUAGGGCAGAAAGUGACUGUAUGAAAGGGCAAAGUUGAGUAAGCAGUAUACCUGGGGCGGAAUUUGGCCGCUUACAUCCUUGUUACGAUCUUGAAGAAGGGUUUCGACCCGGCCAUUAAGAGCACUCCAAAAACGGCGAUCUGAAGCAGGACUGAACAGAGGAGAAGUAACCAUGAAGUUUGGAGAUCUCUGCAAUCAAAAGAAACCCUUUAAUUAAUAUUCGAUUACCAUUUUUUCUUUAAAAAAAAAAAAGCGAUUUGGGUCGUGGAUACCUUGUUAACAUGAACUGGAGAUGGUGUAUCGACUGAAGCCUCCAUGAGAGAGAAAGAGAGAGAGAAGUAACGGCUAGUUUAUGGGGGGAAGUCAUUAUGAUGUGAAUUUAAAUAGAGGCACCGAUUUCGCCAACGUUCUAAAAUCUAAUAAUAGUUGAAAGUUGAUUGGGCCCACAACUCUCAAGUUCAACGCGAUCAAGUGGACACCUGACGAAUCUAACGGCCGAUGAUUAUUGAUUGAAGGCGUGAUUGGAGCCCACUGUUGAUCCCGGAACGGGAACAAAAAGCUUCUGUACUUUGUUUAUACUUAAAAUUUACUUGUUAUUUCUUAUUUUUUUUGGAAUUUUCUUUUAUUUAUUUUUUUUUAAUUUCCCCCCCCCUCUCUUGGGUCCUCCUUCCUGAUGAGAUGGUUCCUCACUUUCUGAGCAGGCACAAGAACAUUCUUCAUAGUUCAUCUUUUGAUAUUCUCUUCGAAGCUAAGUUGGAAAUAUCAUCAGCUUGACUUUUAUGCUGCGAUUCAGUUCCCCCCCUAAUGUUUUCUUCCUGCAGUGAUUGUUCUCUUUCCCUGAUUGGUAAGUCCUCUCACUAGAACGGUUGGUUUUUACUCCAGUAAAGAAAGAACCAGGGCACUAUGAUCAUCACAAACAUAGUUAGAAGAUUUAGAAAGAAAUGUGUUGUUUGUUAUUUUUCGGGUUUAUUAUGGAUUGGCAGUGAGUAUCGUAUAAUAAUUGAUUUAACAAUGUCAAUGGCUCAACUUGUUAGUGCUAUUGACGGAGUUAUAAUGAUUAAGUUGAGUUUAUUCUUCAUAAAUCAUGACGUAUUAAAUUUUUCAUGGCAGUUAAAUUUUUCACGAUGAAUAAACAUUGAAAUUAGUUAUAGAACUUGGAAUUGUGUAAGAAUCAAAUUUUACUAUUACAACCAUGUGUGGUAGAAAAGACAUAUACAAUUACAUUGAAAGUGUUACGAAAUUCCUCUGCAUCUAACCUUAUCGAUCUUCUAUUUCUUAUCUUUCUUGAAGCUCUAAUCAACACAAGUCAAAAAAUCGUUGCCUAAUGGUGUUUGGGAAAAAGCUUCAGUAUUAAUUGUUCAUAGGAAGCAAUACAUCUUGGGAAGUUACUCGAUG
RNAcentral lists this long non-coding RNA (3504 nucleotides) under Carica papaya (papaya). RNAcentral describes it as "long non-coding RNA (CPAP_LNC003484)". The record is from RNAcentral. Lineage: Eukaryota; Viridiplantae; Streptophyta; Magnoliopsida; Brassicales; Caricaceae.